This 253-nucleotide ribosomal RNA is filed under the name uncultured bacterium. RNAcentral's name for it is "partial 16S ribosomal RNA". It matches the Rfam family "Bacterial small subunit ribosomal RNA", at positions 524 to 776 of the family's 1533-position model. The record is from RNAcentral.
UACGAAGGGGGCUAGCGUUGUUCGGAAUCACUGGGCGUAAAGCGCACGUAGGCGGACUUUUAAGUCAGGGGUGAAAUCCCGGGGCUCAACCUCGGAACUGCCUUUGAUACUGGAAGUCUUGAGGCCGAGAGAGGUGAGUAGAAUUCCGAGUGUAGAGGUGAAAUUCGUAGAUAUUCGGAAGAACACCAGUGGCGAAGGCGGCUCACUGGCUCGGUACUGACGCUGAGGUGCGAAAGCGUGGGGAGCAAACAGG